CGAGUACGCCAGAUGAUCGCUCCGUAACAGGAGAGGAAAGUCCGAACACCGUGAUUUUGUCUGAAUUAAGGCAUUGUCAGAGUGAUAGUCGCUAACGGCGACGGGCACAAGAUGGAAAUGAUGAGCGAGCACUCGAGUUCGCUGUUCAGUUUCAUGCGAGGCCACGGAAAGUGCAACAGAAAAUACACCGCCUAAGCGCUUCGCUGGCGCUUUGCGCACAAUUGACAUUUAACAUUUGACCGAUAGAUAUGAUGUCAAAAGUCAGAUGUAAAUAGUCACAUGUUCGCGGAGCGACAGUGGAGCGACGGUAAGGUUGAAAUCGUGGGGUAAGAGCCCACGCGAGACAGCCCGGAGACGGGCGUCGUGGAAAACACCUAUCCGGUGCAAGGGGAAAACCCGCUUGAGGUCUUGAGCAAUCAGGAUCCCAGAGAGAUGAUCAUCAUCCCGACUUGUCGGGAUACAGAAUUCGGCUUAUCAGCUUGCUUGAAGG
Molecule: RNase P RNA, 490 nt
Filed under: bacterium
Lineage: Bacteria
Description: RNase P RNA component class A
Rfam family: Bacterial RNase P class A
About the family: Ribonuclease P (RNase P) is a ubiquitous endoribonuclease, found in archaea, bacteria and eukarya as well as chloroplasts and mitochondria. Its best characterised activity is the generation of mature 5'-ends of tRNAs by cleaving the 5'-leader elements of precursor-tRNAs. Cellular RNase Ps are ribonucleoproteins.
Source: RNAcentral